AACGAACGCUGGCGGCGUGCCUAACACAUGCAAGUCGAGGGAGAAAGCCCGCAAGGGUGAGUAAACCGGCGAACGGGUGCGUAACACGUGGAUAAUCUACCUUCCUGACUGGGACAACUGGCCGAAAGGCUUGCUAAUACCAGAUAAGCCCACGGCGUCUUUGGACGCUGGAAGGGAAAAGGUGGCCUCUGCAUGCAAGCUAUCACAGGGAGAUGAGUCCGCGGCCCANCAGCUAGUUGGACGGGGUAAAGCCCACCAAGGCUACGACGGGUAGCUGGUCUGAGAGGAUGAUCAGCCACAC
This 301-nucleotide ribosomal RNA is filed under the name uncultured bacterium. Its description in RNAcentral is "bacterial SSU rRNA". It matches the Rfam family "Bacterial small subunit ribosomal RNA", at positions 29 to 313 of the family's 1533-position model. The record is from RNAcentral.